Molecule: ribosomal RNA, 119 nt
Filed under: Myotis brandtii (Brandt's bat)
Lineage: Eukaryota; Metazoa; Chordata; Mammalia; Chiroptera; Vespertilionidae
Source: RNAcentral
GUCUACGGCCAUACCACCCUGAACGCGCCCGAUCUCGUCUGAUCUCGGAAGCUAAGCAGGGUCGGGCCUGGUUAGUACUUGGAUGGGAAAAAUGAGGAUAGUUUAGGGGACUUUUGGGG